AUCUUUACUUGAAACAUCCGAGGAGAUCGAUUACGCUGUUCCAUAGGUAAUAGAAGUUAAUAUUUUUUUAGCUUUUACAUAAUCUUUUAUUAAAUUAGUUCGUAAACAAUGAUAUGUUUUCCAUUUUUUUUCAUUAAUUCAUGAACGGUUUUUUGGUGGUAUAAAAUACAAUUUAACUGUGUUAUAUUUCUCUUUCCCUCCUAUUUUUCAAAAAUCUAUCACGAAAGUCAUUUAGAUAGGUUCUUAAUUUAAAUUCAAUAUUAUUAGUGAAAAAAAUAUCUUAUAUAUCUCUCAUUUAAAAUCCAUCUAGUUUAUCAUUUACAUUUAGUUUUAAUAUAAAUAAAUUAGAGUGAUAGUUAUUUGAAAAGCAAUACUAUAAAAUAAUAUUUAAACUAAUCUACAAUAAGCUAGAAACAUGUUAUCUUAUAUAUCUCAUUAAAAAUCCAUCUAAUUUAUCAUCUAAUUUAGUUUUACUGGAAAUAAACGAGAGUGAUACUUAUUUGAAAAGUAAUGCUAAAAAACGUUAUUUAAACUAAUCUACAAUAAACUAGGAAUAUGAUUUCUUGCCAGAAUGAGGGUUCGAUUCUAUCUAACCAAAUACUUUAUUGUCAAUAAAAUAGGUAUCUAUUUUUAAAAAAGAAUAAAAAUAAUUAAAAUUUCAAAAAAUAGCAUUAAACAUAAAUUUUUAACAAAAAAUAAAUAUUAUAUAAUUAAAUAAUAAUUUAAAUAAUAUCUCAAGCUUUUAAAAUAAAAUAAGAAGUAAAUAUAACACCUUACUGUUUAACUUUCAUUUAAAAAUUUGCAAUCUAAUAAUGAUUAGCUAAAAACUCUCAUGUCUAUCUCCACUUAAAAAUAAAGAAAAGUGAAGAAAUCGAAAAGAGAGAAAUUAAAAAAUAAAACAUUAAAGCUAUUUUACGAUAAAUUAUCUAUUAGAAAUCUAAUAUGGAAUUCCUACCAAAUUAAACGUCCCAAUCAAUAUAAUUAGAUGUACUUUAAUCUAGAAAAUAGGUGUCCAUAUUCAAAAAAAGGAAAGAAAAAAAGAACAAAAAGUGCUUGGAAUCUAAGAAAUAAAAUUUAAUACGAAAAACUAACUGUAGAAUUCAAAAGGAAAUAGACUUGUACCCUAUGUUUUUAAGGUUUUAUUUCUUAAUAGACCUAAUAUUUUAAAAUAUAUCUUAGUUUUAUUUCUCAAAAGGCCCAAUGUUUCAAAACAUAUAUUGAGCUACGGACAUAUUAGGUAUCAUAUCUUCUAACCCCCUAACCAAUUUUCCUCAUUUUGACCCUAUUUUUUUUAGCCUAAACAACUCUUAAGCAGACACGCUAUUUCUAAACCUCAUACUCUCUCUCCAUGAUAUUCCCUAGCUUCUCUUUCCCCAUGGCUCUCCACAUAUCUCUCUCGACUUCCAUCAGUCGAAUAAGGCCAUCAACCACUCUCUCCCCAUGAUAUUCCCCAACUUCUCUCUCCCCAUGAUUCUCCCCAAAUCCCUCUCUAACUUCCAUUCCAUUAAUCGAAUAAGGCCAUCAACUACUCUCUUAAGUGCUUUCGCCCCAUGAUUCUCCCCAAAUCCCUCUCUUGAUUUCCAUUAAUCAAAUAAGGCCAUCAAUUCGCAUGAGGCCAUCAUCAAUUCGCAUAAGGCCAUCAACCACUCUCCCUUGAGUGCUUCCGUAUUGACAAUACGAUCAUCAUCAAUGUUCAUACGAGAUUCAUAAGUGUUGAUAAUCAAACAUCAAAAUCUUCCUUCAUCAUAGCAAAUCCAAUACUCUUCAUUCUGAGGAUGCAAAUUUCAACCUCUGACAAUGCUCAAUAGGAUCCCAUACACUUCAACCUGAUCAAUGGGAUCUCAUAUACCUCUUUAUUUUGAGGAUACUCAAUAGGAUACCCAUAAAAUGAUCAAUAGAAUCCAUAGACUUCAAAACUUCAAAGGAAUUCAAAACUUCAAAGGUUGAUGUUACAAGAUUCUUGCACAAUCCAGUAUAUUCAAUUACAUUUAUUUUCUUUAUAGGUUUGUAAUUGUAGAAGAUGGGAGAAGUUGGGCAUGGGUAAACAAUACAGUUGUACUCGUAGAAGAUGGGAAAGGGAUUAAGAGAAUUACAGAGAUAUAGAAUUGGAGAAGUUGAGCAUGCGUAGACAAUAGAGUUAUACUUGAAGAAGAUGGGGGAGAAGUUGGGCAUGCGUAUUAUGCAAUCAACAAAGGUAGAAUU
RNAcentral lists this long non-coding RNA (2202 nucleotides) under Amborella trichopoda. RNAcentral's name for it is "long non-coding RNA (ATRI_LNC004315)". The record is from RNAcentral. Lineage: Eukaryota; Viridiplantae; Streptophyta; Magnoliopsida; Amborellales; Amborellaceae.